This 76-nucleotide transfer RNA is filed under the name Bacteroidetes bacterium QS_8_68_15. Its description in RNAcentral is "tRNA-Met". It matches the Rfam family "tRNA". From Rfam's summary of the family: Transfer RNA (tRNA) molecules are approximately 80 nucleotides in length. Their secondary structure includes four short double-helical elements and three loops (D, anti-codon, and T loops). Lineage: Bacteria; Pseudomonadati; Bacteroidota. The record is from RNAcentral.
GGGCUCGUAGCUCAACGGUUAGAGCAAGCGACUCAUAAUCGCUCGGUUGAAGGUUCGAAUCCUUCCGGGCCCACCG